AUGGAAGAUCCUCGGCAGACUCGACGGUUGGAGAUGCGCGAUUCCGGUGGUGAUCGGUGGGUCGUAGCGGCGGUUUGUUGUGGGAGUCGCGGCCGAUGGAUCCGCAGAGUUGAGUUAUUUGUAGGCUUGCUCGGAAGAAGCGACUGGGUGUUGAUCUACACAGAGGGAGCGAGGGUUGUGUGUGGAGCUUGUUGGAGUCGUAUCGAGGGCGUGGAGGGGGUCGGCGGAUUCAUGAGAAAAUCGCAAGGGUCGUUACACGAAUCUGAAGGCUACAAGUUAGGCUCGAAAACUCUUGAGAUUUCGAUGUGA
Molecule: non-coding RNA, 309 nt
Organism: Vicia faba (fava bean)
Lineage: Eukaryota; Viridiplantae; Streptophyta; Magnoliopsida; Fabales; Fabaceae
Source: the annotation of a GenBank genome assembly